RNAcentral lists this long non-coding RNA (281 nucleotides) under Lathyrus oleraceus (garden pea). RNAcentral describes it as "Pisum sativum (pea) long non-coding RNA (PSAT_LNC021857)". Lineage: Eukaryota; Viridiplantae; Streptophyta; Magnoliopsida; Fabales; Fabaceae. The record is from RNAcentral.
UUUUUUCUGGAUUUUUAUCUCAGCUUGUUAAGCUGUGUAUGUUUGUGGUUCUAUAACACCUAACAAUAUGCUUUGACAUUCUGUGUGACAUUCUGUUUGACUAAUAGACAUUUAUUUUGUCUCAUUGGUCUCUUUGAUCUCUUUUGGCUAAAAAGGGGGAGAAGUAGCUAAAGGAGCUGUAGCUAAUCUAGCUAUGCUAUAAAAAGAUGACAAAUGAUAUUGAAGAUGAUGUAUGUUGAAGAUAAUCUGUUUAAUACAGGUGUUGUUGAAGGAGAUGUUAG